UCGAGGAAGAAAAUAUUUAUCCAUUGAGUUUCUUGAUUAUCUAAAGAAAAAUGAUUCUCUCUGAAUAGACCCCUUUUCACACACUACAGUUAAAUGGUAUAGCCGAAAGGAGGAAUCACACAUUAUUAAAUAUGGUAUGGUCCAUGAUGUGCUUCACAAAUCUUUCUAUUUUAUUUUGAGGAUGUACCCUAAAAACUACUGCUUAUAUU
Molecule: long non-coding RNA, 209 nt
Filed under: Elaeis guineensis (African oil palm)
Lineage: Eukaryota; Viridiplantae; Streptophyta; Magnoliopsida; Arecales; Arecaceae
Description: long non-coding RNA (EGUI_LNC056448)
Source: RNAcentral